GGCGCUGGGGCGCCGGGCAAACUGUUUCAACGUGAGCCCUCCCCUUGGAGCCCAGAGGCCCAGAGGCUGGGGGAGAGGAGCCCGUCUGGGAGGGCCCCGCACGACGCAAGGCGAGUUGGCGUCGGCCUCAAGUGGACACGCUGCUGUUGUGCCCCCGCUCUUGCGCGCCCCGCAGACAUGCACCGGCGGCGGCCGGGCGCGCCCCGGGGCCUCGCCCCCGCGCGGGGACUCUGAGUGCCGCCGCCCCCGUGAGAGCUCCUGGCCGCUGGGGUUCGCAGCACUGCUGCCGCCCACAUCCAGCCAUGCGGCGCUGGGCCUGGGCCGCAGUCCUGGCCCUCCUCUGGCCACAGCUCGCCUUGCUCUGGGGAGUCGGGGCAUGGCGGGAGCCCAAGAGGCUGCGGCAGCCUGGCCAGCGCACAGAGGCCCCCAACGCCACAGCUUCUGACAGUGAAGGUCUGCCUGGCUCUCCCAAGUCGCUGGAGCCCUCAGGGCCUGAGUUCUCGGAUGCUCACAAGACGUGGUUGAACUUUGUCCGACGGCCAGAAGAUGGUUCUUCCAAGAAACGCUGUCGCUGUCAAUGCCAAGACAAGAAGUUGCGAGGCCUCUUGGGUCCCCCGGGGCCCCCUGGACCUCCAGGACCCCCAGGGCCCCCCGGUGUGGAAGUCGCCCCAGCAGCCCUGCUUCAGGAGUUCAAGGACAUGCUGAAGGACCAUAGUGAGCUGCAGGGCAGGGCCCGGCUGCGGGCCCGGGACACUGUGCGUGUCCUCAUCUGCAUCGAGUCCCUGUGUCACCGCCACACGUCCCUGGAGGCCAUCUCAGGCCUGGAGAGCAACAGCAGGGUCUUCACGGCACAGUUGCAAGGGCUGCUGCAGCUGCAGGCUGGGCAGUAUGCCUCCGUGUUUGUGGACAACGGCUCCGGGGUGGUCCUCACCAUCCAGAGUGGCUCCAGCUUCUCUGGGCUGCUUCUGGGUACCUGAGGGUGCAGAGGGAGCACCCUGUCAGGACCUGUGAUUGCCCCUCUGAGGAAGGAGGCGAGAAGACCCCCAGUGGAUUCCUGUGGUCACAGCAAUAAAAGCCCCAGUACUCUGUUGCCCCGG
RNAcentral lists this long non-coding RNA (1097 nucleotides) under Ictidomys tridecemlineatus (thirteen-lined ground squirrel). Its description in RNAcentral is "lncRNA (ENSSTOG00000029336.1)". The record is from RNAcentral. Lineage: Eukaryota; Metazoa; Chordata; Mammalia; Rodentia; Sciuridae.